RNAcentral lists this non-coding RNA (179 nucleotides) under Anaerolineae bacterium. RNAcentral's name for it is "6S RNA". It matches the Rfam family "6S / SsrS RNA". From Rfam's summary of the family: E. coli 6S RNA was the first non coding RNA to be sequenced, but its function was unknown until recently. It consists of 184 nucleotides that fold into an extended hairpin structure with a large single-stranded internal bulge. Lineage: Bacteria; Bacillati; Chloroflexota; Anaerolineae. The record is from RNAcentral.
AGUGCCCUGCGGUGCCCGUGAUGCUCCAAUACGUCUUGAGCCAACACCUUAUCCUUGGGAGCCGAGUGCUCGGGGGGGAAUGCGAUAGCCCUUGAUUGGCAAGGCAGGAACCUUCGGACCGGCACCCACCUGCGAUAGCAGGUUCAAGAACAUGAAGCACACGGCACAGCGGGGACUUU